UAUCGCAGCCUGCAUAACGUCUACGAUUUCUCAACGCUACUACUCACCAUGGGCUACGUCCGGGUACCGUGGGUUAGAGUCUCCGGCACUUACCGUAGAUAAGGGAGACCGCUACCUGUACUUCAGAGUUAUCUUAUGGUUCUAGGGUCCCGCCGGGCCCACCGCCGCGGGGGAGGGGGCCGUUGGGUAGGAGGGAGAGAAAGGGGGGAGGGGCGGCGGCGGUUAUCGGGGGCGGCCCGCUUCGGGCGCGCCUAGACCGCCGCCGCCCGACGGUAAAGGGCACACCGCGCAAGUGCCCGACCCCCUCGGGGCACACCGCCGCUGGCCGCACCGCACUGAGGCCGCGCGUCGCCAAGUAGGCCACCUCCGACCCCUGCCACCACACCUCCGCGAGCGACGAGAGAGGGCCACCGGACGAGGCUUAGCUGCCGCAGGGGGACAGCCACCCGCAGCCCCACUCCGACUCCCAGCUGCUCUACGCUAGGCCGCUUCCACAAGAGACACUCCGCGCGCACCACCACGAGCGGGAGGGGGAGAGACGCACUAGACGUCCGCGAGCCGCACGGACGGCCGUGCAAGGACCACCCCCGCCGCACCCGUCCGACCUAGGCCGACCUAAACCGGACGCCACCUGGCCUAGACCAGUACACACCGCCGCCCGACGUCACCUGGAACGAGACGCCACCACGUACUUCGUCUCAUAGCGCCACAUGGCCACGAGGAGCUUCCACCAGACGAGUGAACCCACUUUCGGAGACGAGGCUGGCCUCGGCCGCUACCGCCGCGGGCGCCCACAGCGAAUGGAGGAACCUCCGCAGCGACAGUUCCACUGAAAGGGAAGCUUCGAGGUCCCCUUUGGGAACAAGGACCAAGAAGGCUUUGCCCGCUACCGCCGCGUAAAAACACAGCGUUAGGAAGAAUUUCCGUAGCAAAACCACCUAAACACACCAGCGACGAAAGACGCCCAGCCUACCACCACCACCACGCUGACCGACCCCAGCUGCCACCACACCAGCCACAGCCACUCCUCCACGACGAAACGAGUACAGAAGAUCCGAACUGGUAAGUAACCUCACCAAACUAAGAAGGUAGUCUUCGGCCCAAUCGCCCCACCCUAGGAGAGACCUGGUGGAGCAAGGACAUGCUGUGGAGAGGGGAGAUGCCCCACAACAACCCACCGCUGGUCUGCUGGUUGCAAGUUCCGAGAGGAACUAACCAGUCUACUUCUACCUUCAACUCUGGAGUCCCCUUUGGGGAUCGUGUCCAGGAGGACCACGCCUACUACCGCCGCGUUGGCUGCAGCGCCGGGAACAACUUCCGUAGUAGAGCCCCAGACGAACCAACUGCACACCCACGACGACGUCCCUACAACCACCACCACCACGCUGGCCUACCCAGCUGCUACCAUACACCAGCAGACACCACCACAAACAGUCACAGCGGGGACAACGACACGUACGAGUUCUGGAGGUACCGACGGUAACACCACGCCGCUCGAAGCACGAGAACCGCAACAGGGCCAAGUAGAAACGAGUUACUACGGUGUUCAAAGGAGGGGUUGAACGAUUAGCAAAGGCUAAGAAGUACCGCCUCAAGGGGCAGUUCCAAGCACGAUCAGUGAGCAACUACACCUACGAGGAGACAACGCGUCACCACGAGCCAUGCGUGCGGUCAAACCACGCAAUCCGGCGAACAGUUCAGAACCAUAACACUGGGGAGCUACUGAGGGGAGUAGUUGAACACGGAGAACACCACUACAAGAAGCCCAACGAUCGAUCCGCACGGGACAGAACCCGCAGAAAACAAAACCAAAGAGAAGAAAAUGGGAGAGAACAAGCCAAAAGCCGGGCCAAAAGGAGUAUUUAUCCCAGAUUAACAGAACCAAAAGCUAGGUUAAAAGGAAUAUUUGGCCUAGUUAUAGAACCGAAAUUCCGGUGAAACUUUAUAUAAGUCCACCCCUCGGAAAGGGGGGGCCACUGGUAAAGUUUUUUUUUUAUCUUAUGGUUCUACUUCUCAGUAUGUCCCUUCAAAGGUUACUUAGUCUUCGUCAGUUGCUAGUACCGAUAUCAUCUAACCCUGCUGUUCUAACUAGUUUUUUUCGAAAAAAUAAACAAAGCCGAUUGAUUGAUAUAUACAUAUCCUAAAAUGGUUAUUAAUACGUUAAUCUAAAUACAAAUGACUUAGUCGAUGAUCCUCCAACGAAAUAAAGACAUUUUUUAUCUCUACGGAAAAGGACUAUACUUACACAGAGAUAGUCGAAAUGAUCUAUAUGAGCUUUAGCUGUUUCGGCGGUAGGACACUAAAAAGCAUCGUCUAAAAUUAUAGAUGUUCAAGUAGUACUGACCUUCAAAGAAUAUAGUACUAAACGUAAUCCAACUUAAACAUUUAGAUCUCCAAGUAGUCCUAGUCCCGUGAAGGGAUCCGUGUAACAUCGAAGCUAGUCCCUUCAUGUAAUUUUGGUUCUACGGAAGGCGUCGGAGUCGAUGUCACGCUUCUGUACAAAGAAACCCACGUAGCGUGAAGACUACAUUUUUUGAGAACGAAACGCUGGACAAGUAACAAAAAUGAAGAUCGUAUGUAAAAGGAAGGUUGGUCAAAAAAAGUACAUGUUACUGAGGAGCUGAUUGCUUGAGUGUAACACCGUUAAAAAGCUACCACUAUAACGCACCGAUUACGAAGACUAACUUGGCGAUAUAUGGAAGGAGAAGCGAGACUAUCUGCCCUGAAAUACGUGUCGUUUACGUGAUAAUAGAACGGGGAUUAUGACAUUAAUGUAUGAUAUAAAAGAUCGCUUAUUCUUACAGUAUAAUAAAGUCAAUAUAGUAGAUUAAUGAAAAAGAUACUUGUGAGGUCAUUAAACAAUAGAGUCACCCGUGUGAAAUAUCAAGAACCGGUACAAUUAUUAAGGCACGUAACAAAUUAAGCGGAUGUAAGUAUGUAAUAACAAAGCCUACGGUUUCACCUUAAGUCCAAUCAUAAAAAAUAGUAGGAUAAAUCAGUUUAAAACCAGUCCAUAAGAUAGUACGUUGAUAUGUAUAAUGAUCCAUGUUUGACAACGAGAAAACGUUCGAGAGAGUUGACGAGUUUUAACCCCUAUCAACCAGUUGAUCAUAAAAUAAACGGUUAAAUGGUAAAACAAAAACAAGUUUUAUGCAACCUCACGAUGAAACUAACCUACCCUUAGUUUCGCGUGUUCCUCGGAUGUGUUAAUCCUAUUAAGGAUACGUUACGCUUAAUUAAUACUCUUGAUUACCUUGAUUACUCCACCAUUACUGAUUUCAAACACUACCACGUUACACAAUCUACCUCAAAGUUCGUGUGUUUGUUGACGUUCACAGAGGAUCCUACAAUCUCAACAAAGGAAGAGUGAAGCGUGUUUAUUGUAGUUUGUAUCGAAUACAAACUAUUUGAUUAAUUACUGUAUAAAAAAGACCUAUUUUAGGUUAAAAUAACGAAUUAACAGCGAAGGUAAAAGAAACAUUAUUAUACUUGAGCCUUGGUAGAUAUAACAAAUUUUACCUUUUUUUUAUAAUGUGAUGGUCAUGUAGAACUGUACUCCAAAAGUGACAAAAGUAUGAUCCUAUAAGACAAACGGAUAAAAUUCCGUAUCCAGAGGGACAAAAUUUAAAAACAAAGUUUUUAAUGUUAUAUAGUAACAAAAUUUAACGAAAGAACUGGAGUAACCCUCAGACCCUCUACUAUAGGAGCCGACGAAUUCGGAAUCAUGAAUCACGAUAUUUAAUAGUCUACUUUAGGAACUGACGAAAGCAGCACUUUACUUAAGGGUCAAGAUGUUUUUCCACUUUUUUGUCUUACAUUUAAUGUUUUAAGGUGCCCUUUUCCCUACAUGUAUACAGUGGAUUUCAACAAACUUAUCAACCUACCAACAACGCUCAAUUCAUUAUCUAUAAACAAAUGCGUAAGGUCGCAGUCUGUACAUUCGUAAAAAUUAUUACGCUGAAGUAGUUACUAAGAAGAAUACCUCAAUAAAACUUUAAUUAAGUUUUUUAUCUUAGGUUACUAUUUAAUAAAAGAAUUUCAUAGAAUGUUCAAUUCUUAGAGUAUAUUUAGUACGUACGCAUCAUUUAUGUUCCGUUGUGUUUACCGUUCUUAUUAAUACAAUACGUUUUAGAGUUUCUGUUCGGGUACGCCUACGUUCCCAACUGCUGAUCAUGAGAGAUUUCAUGAUUUUGACUGCUGAUGUAAGGACGUAUAAAUCUAUAUAUUUUGAUUGAUGAUUUCAUAAUUUUGACUGCCAAGAUUAGGUUUGACCUUCAUAACGGAUGUCUUUAAGUCUUGGAACCAUCCACAACUACUAAGUCUGGAAUCAAUGAAGCCUGAAGUCUUAACGUAAACACGUCGAUAAGAGAUCCUCUUCAGCACGUUAUGUUUGUAUAAUUAUUCCAAGAAGAACUUAUGCGUUGUUUGUUGAUGCAGUCUGUUUCUAGACCUCAUGGACGAGUAUAGACCACUCGCCCAUCAGAGAACGGGGUUUGCGGGUUCGAGGACCACUAUAGGAUGAGGUGAGCCAAAGAAGAAGAAGGUACGGAUGUGUCGAGAUCGAAAAAAAAUCAAAUCGGGCAGAUUUAAAGAUAGUAUAUUUUAGAAUACUUUGUUACACGAUGAUAAGAAUAAUAACUUGAUACAGUUAGACAAAAAAAAAUUCACCCCCUCACUACUUAGCUUGUUCCUCCUUCCGGCUGCACAAACAAGAAGUUGGUAAAGGGUGACUUUGGGACUUUUAACCCCCCUUAGUACCGACCUCGUAUACACUUGAACCGGAGGCCAGUAACUCAGUCCAAAGAUCAAAACGAACCCUCUCAUCGUACACGAAGGGUAAACAAAUUAAUUUAUUAACCAUAGAUUAAGUACACUUGGUCUAGCACGAACCCUCUCAUCGUACACAAACUAAAUCAAUGUAUGUAUCUGGAAAACUUGUAAACCGAACCGACAAACCUAGACGAAAAUACGUCCCUCUGACAUAAGGUUGGUAUUUUGACUAUGUUGCCGGUGUGAUUAUACUGGCGACAUGAAAGUUUAGCUGGUAGACUAAUAAGUCCUCUAUACAUAGUUUCCUGGAGAUACAAGGGAUAGUACACAUAAAUUGUUCAUUUAUAAGUCGAUAAGAGCUAAAUAGAACGAUUACUGGUAAACAUGGAAAAGUAAAUAAAAACGAAUAGGUAAACAAAACAUAUUAUAUACGUACAACAUCUUAUUACUACUCGACUUUUAACUGUGGUAAGUGUCUCGAUCUGCUUCGAAUACUUACAUCGUACCCUUGUGUAUCAACUGAAUUUAAUUAUAACACGAACGAAUAUACUUGGUAAAUAAGUGUUCCUAAUAGAACACCACACAUCCGUCACGCUGACAUACAAUGUUCCAACAUAGUAAACAUGUUGUGUGUAUUACUAUAUUCGAGCACCACAAUCAUGAUCUGUAAGAAAACAAUAAAAAUGAAUUAAGGAACCCAUAUGAUAUGACGUAAAACAGAGG
Molecule: ribosomal RNA, 5493 nt
Filed under: Triticum aestivum (bread wheat)
Lineage: Eukaryota; Viridiplantae; Streptophyta; Magnoliopsida; Poales; Poaceae
Description: partial small subunit ribosomal RNA
Source: RNAcentral